Molecule: ribosomal RNA, 461 nt
Filed under: uncultured Ceratobasidiaceae
Lineage: Eukaryota; Fungi; Basidiomycota; Agaricomycetes; Cantharellales; Ceratobasidiaceae
Description: eukaryotic LSU rRNA
Rfam family: 5.8S ribosomal RNA (bases 1-105)
Source: RNAcentral
GAAAUGCGAUAAGUAAUGUGAAUUGCAGAAUUCAGUGAAUCAUCGAAUCUUUGAACGCACCUUGCGCUCCUCGGUAUUCCUUGGAGCAUGCCUGUUUGAGUAUCGUGAAAUCUUCAAAGUAAAUCUUUUGUUCACUCAAUUGGUUCUACUUUGGUAUUGGAGGUUUAUUGCAGCUUCACACCUGCUCCUCUUUGUGCAUUAGCUGGAUUCUCGGUGUUAUGCUUGGUUCCACUUGGCGUGAUAAGUUAAUUUAAUCGCUGAGGACACUCUCUAUAACCAAAAAGGAGAGGGAGGGGGGGUGGCCAAGGUAAAUACAGAUGAACCCGCUUCUAAUAGUCCAUUGGCUUGGACAAAAAUUAUUUAUUAUGAUCUGAUCUCAAAUCAGGUAGGACUACCCGCUGAACUUAAGCAUAUCAAUAAGCGGAGGAAAAGAAACUAACAAGGAUUCCCCUAGUAACCCU